Molecule: small RNA, 158 nt
Filed under: Gopherus agassizii (Agassiz's desert tortoise)
Lineage: Eukaryota; Metazoa; Chordata; Testudines; Testudinidae
Description: TUC338 (ENSGAGG00000025879.1)
Source: RNAcentral
UUGAUAGCCCUGAUAAACAUCCUCUAUUUAUCUACUAUACACAUCUAGGAUAGGCAGCAGAAAGCAUCAUCCCAUUCCUUCACCACUAUGUCUCAAAACUGACCUGGAGGGAUCACUUCUAGGGAUGAGAGAGGUGCUCCAGUUGAUCCUUUGCCGCU